This 493-nucleotide ribosomal RNA is filed under the name uncultured bacterium. Its description in RNAcentral is "partial 16S ribosomal RNA". It matches the Rfam family "Bacterial small subunit ribosomal RNA", at positions 29 to 507 of the family's 1533-position model. The record is from RNAcentral.
ACGAACGCUGGCGGCGUGCUUCACACCUUCAAGUCGCACCGUGAAGCGCCUUCCUUUUUGGUGGGUGUGGAUGAGUGGCGAACGUGUGAGUAACACGUGAGUAACCUGCCCCCUUCUUCUGGAUAACCGCAUGAAAGUGUGGCUCAUACGGGAUAUUCUGGGUCUGUCGCAUGAUUGGUCUGGGCAAGAUAUUGUUUCGGUGGGGGCUGGGCUCGCGGCCUAUCAGGUUGUUGGUGGGUUGAUGGCCUACCAAGGCGGUGACGGGUAGCCGGCCUGAGAGGGUGGACGGUCACAAGGGGAAGGAGAAGCGGCGAAGACUCCGACAGGAGGCAGCGGUGAGGAAUAUAGCACAAGGGGAGGAAGCAUGAUGCAGCGACGCCGCGGGGGGGAUGGCGGACGUGGGGUAGUGAACCUCUUUCGCGAGUGAAGCAGGCUUGCCACGUUUGUGGGUGGGUUGAAGGUAGCUGGAGAAGAAGCGCCGGCUAACUACGUG